UGGAGUCAUAUGAACAGAACUGGCCUGUAUAUACCAUAUAUCAAAGAAAUCUCGGAAAUGGGAGUCCACUGCAUCGAGAACAUAGGUAUUUUGAAAGUUUGAGUAGCAUAACCCUAAGCUCCUCAUCUUAAAUCCUCCAAACCCCAAAAGUCACUUCACCUUAUGCCAUCCUAGCUCUACCUACCCUUAAUGUUAUAGGUGCCCUAAC
Molecule: non-coding RNA, 208 nt
Organism: Pelobates cultripes (western spadefoot toad)
Lineage: Eukaryota; Metazoa; Chordata; Amphibia; Anura; Pelobatidae
Source: the annotation of a GenBank genome assembly